RNAcentral lists this long non-coding RNA (517 nucleotides) under Anas platyrhynchos platyrhynchos (common mallard). RNAcentral describes it as "lncRNA (ENSAPLG00000019990.1)". The record is from RNAcentral. Lineage: Eukaryota; Metazoa; Chordata; Aves; Anseriformes; Anatidae.
GCAUCCGGGCAGCGUGGGGAGGAGAGAAGAGAAGAAGCGUUACGGAGCAGGAGAGGACCCGACGCUGAAGGACCACCCCCCUUGGUUGUCCAGGUUCUUGGCCCGUCACCUCCUUGGCCCCCCCCCCCCCCCCAUUUUUUUUGGCCCCCCUACCACCCCUGCACUCACCCUUCGGGCUUUGCUCUGGUACUUUACGGCUUUUUUGGUGUCCGACACGGCCCGUUCCACGUAGUCGACCGAGUGCUCCACGUUGUACUCGAUGCGGUCAAUCAUCUCGCCCUGAGAGCCAGAACCGCCCCGUGAGACCCCCUCCCCAAAAAAAAAGGGGGGGGGCACUGGCAUCCUGGGAGAGCGGGAUUCUAGGAGGUUCUAGGUGGUUCAACUGGGUCUUGGUGGGCUCAAGAGCCUCUUAUGGUGGGUUCUUGAUGACCCAACGGGUUGUUGGUGGGCUUAAAAGUUUUUGGUGAUGUCUAGAUGAACCACCAGACCAGGUUCUAGAUGACCCUUGGUGGUCAUC